This is a long non-coding RNA of Cygnus olor (mute swan), 1612 nucleotides long. RefSeq lists it as uncharacterized. The transcript has 3 exons. NCBI's taxonomy places the organism in Eukaryota, Metazoa, Chordata, Aves, Anseriformes, Anatidae. The record is from RefSeq and is a predicted model, not a curated record.
AGAGGGGGAAGAAGAGUAAGAUCUGUAAGAAAGAAAAGAUAUAGCUAAAAUUCACGGGGAAUGCUAACACUUUGAAUGUGGAAAUGUACAUUGGGCAGAGCCUUUGAUUUAAAAUGUUUUGAAAGAGGUUUGGAAAAUAUUCUUGAUCUAACUUUUUAGCCUUUGAAGCAUUGCUUUGUGACCCCAUUUUCAAAUGUUCAUAAUCCUAUAAAAGAGAUAUAUAAUGAGGUUCUUAAAAGCCCUUGAACAUUGAUUAAAGUACUUUAGGAUCAAAAAAACAUAUUCAUAUUCAUGCGCAAUUAAACAAGAGCCUUUAUAUUAAAACUGGUAACCUGCCAUGGUUUCUGGGCAUUUUGCUUUUUAAUUUUCUCAGACUUAAGUCUAAUGUUUGAUUCCUUUUGCAGCCAAAUCUCCCAGCUAGAUUACCAGGGAUUUCAGGAUUACACUUUCAGUGCCAAAUACACAUGUAUUGGAAAAUAAAUAGAUAAAUGGAUGACUAGGAAACACAGCAGAUUCAGCCUGCCUGAGGAGAACAGAAAGAAAUGGUGAAUUGAAAACUUUCAGAGCCAGGGUUUGACAUCAGCAGAACAGAACAGAAGCAAAGAGCAGGGUACGCUAGGAUUCUCUCAGCUCAAUGUGGACCAAAGAUCGUGCAGACAGUGGCCUGAAGCUUCUCCACUGAUUCUCAAAUGCAUGUCCAAACUACUCCUCUGAUCCCUUGCUUGUGGCUGGGUGAGAAGCAGAAGACCUGUGACUGCUUCUGAAUUACAUGUAAACGGAUUGUGUGGCUGAUACAUACACAGUGAUUGGCUUGCUGGUAUGUUAAGCAUAAUAGAUAAUUGCUGAGCUUACACAGCAAUAUUUUCCUCACUGGGGAGACUCAUGUCAGUCUUUGUCUCCUACUCAGCUGUCAGUUCUCAUGGAAACUUGUUGGAACUUGAUAUCUUUGAGACCAGGUCCUUUUGUCAGAUUUGAUCAAAAUUAGCCAAUUCAUUCAAAAGUUAGGAGGGAGGGGAUGAGAAAUGACAGGUUGGCGGUACAUCUGUGUAAUUUAUUUCCUUACAAAACUGGCACGGAAAUCAAAGUAUUCUAAUUUUCAAAACAGGCAAUCGGAAUUCAGUAGCAUGCAUACAACAGAAGCUUCUAGAAAUUCGGAUAAGUUAUGAGCACAACGUAUUUUGUGGUAAGUCACAAUGUUGAGUGUCAUUGUUUUGGGUUUAUGUACGUAUCUUUGAGUUUAUGGAUAUGUAUCUCCUGUCACCUGAUCACAUUCACUACAGAGAACCUCCCAGAGGAUAAAAAGUAGAUUGUCUAACAGUCUCCCUUUCAGGCUGUUUAUCUAACACAGGCCAAUUUGGGUAAAAAAACAAACACAAUUCCAGCAAUGCAAUGACAAUGACAACAGUGAAGUGUUGAUUGUCCACCUACUUUUUUGGGGUGAAAAAUAUUUUAGCCAAAGAGGAAAGCUGAAGGAAAUAGCUGAUAGCAAAUGACAACUAUGUUUCCACAUCUUCUUAAGCUCUAAUAGGCUUUUUGUUGUAGUGAACUGACCCGCUUCAUACUUUUAAAAUAUAAUUAAAGAAAGAUGCUGCUUUUAUGAACAUUAGGUGGA